UACUGCAUCAGGAACUGAUUGGAUAAUAAUCAGUCACCAUCAGUUCCUAAUGCAUUGCC
Molecule: microRNA precursor, 59 nt
Filed under: Alligator mississippiensis (American alligator)
Lineage: Eukaryota; Metazoa; Chordata; Crocodylia; Alligatoridae
Also listed under: 3 other names
Description: Ami-Mir-217-v1_pre stem-loop
Source: RNAcentral